GCCCAGAGAGCUGACUCACACAGAAAAAGGUUCCAGUCGUCUUUUCCUGUCUCCCUGCUGCAGGUGAGCAAAACCCUAGCUUUGUUUGGGAGGCGGACUCCAGGAAGGUGCCAUUUAAUAUAAAUUGGAGGUAGGAAGCUAUCUGGCCAAAGUUCCUUAUUUUGGAGGUGAAGAAAUGGAAAGAAAACGAAGAUCCUCAUUUGAAAACGGAAAAAGAAAAGAAAUGGAGGCAUCAUGUGAUAUUUGCCUAAAUAUCCCUAAAGAGAUCCAUUUAUUUUUAGUGUUGAAUUAAAAACCCUCAAAGGAAAAGAGAAAUUUUGAUCUCGGAGAAGAGCUGUUUCAUCCCAGAAAUCCCUCAUGUUGCAUCCAGGAAGCCGAGCCUGAAAGUGCAGCGUGGGAUCACAGGGUCAAGAUGUUUCCUGGAUAGCAGCUCCAUCACUGCUCCGUCUGAACUCACAACGUCCCCGCCAUCCACACCCCUGUCCUCAACUCAGAGCACGUAUAAGGAUGAGCAGCCACCAGCAAACAAGGGGCUCAUUUUAUGUGUGCGUUGCUGCCUCUCGGUGUCAGGGGCACUGGAUUUUGUUGACUCCCCCUCGUUCACUCAUGCAGACCUGUGUAGGCGAUCUUUCCCGGUCCAGUUACUGUCACUUGUCACCCGUCCACUUGUAGGUAAGGCUCCAGGAGAAAUGUUUCCUUCCCUUCUUGAGGGUAGAUUCAACUGAAUGGUGGAUGAAGGGAUCGGCAGCUGGAGAUCAACAGGGCAGAUUUACUACUGAUAAAAACUAGGAUGGAGGAUGUGGCAUAGGUAGUCAAUCGAAACUGACUUGCUAACACACUCUCCAUCACUCCUUCACACGCAUCCCUCCCCUACACCCAGAUCCAGUGGAAAGUCCACUUAGGAAAAGCAUGCAUUUGCAAGCAUACCCUCUAAGCCAAGAUCGUACUUCACACUGGCCUGGGGCAGACAGGAAAGAAGAGAGGUUGGUACUUCAGGGCUUAGAGCCUUUUAAUACAUUAGAUCCUCCCAGUGGAGAACAUGGACCAAUUGCUGUCUCAUGAAUCAUGUAGCCUGCAGAGGAGUGAGUAAGGGAUAGUAACAGACCAGGAGUACUGCUCAAGAGGACAUCAACUCACAGGUAAUAGGAGGAGUGGGUUAGAAAUGUUCCUUCCUAAUAAGUGGAUGCAUAUUAGGGAGUGGGGUAGAUGUGAGGUGGCUGUGAGGGUUCAGGACAAAGGAAUGAAAAAAAGAAAAUAAGGACUCAAACAUUCCACCCUAGGAAUCGCAAGCUUAGUGGACGGACAAGGCCAAGAAAUGGCUGAUGUCAGCUGAGUUAUUUAUUGCUUCAAGUCAAUGACUGAGUGAUGGCCUUUCAUGUUACAGUUUUUCUGAGUAGAUGCCUAAGCAGAUCCUGAGUGGUGAAGUUGAAGCUUAGUGGGGAUUUUUCGAAACAUGGGAACUAGACAAGGAAACUCAGUUUCUAGUUCAAGACCUAUGAGCAAAAUUGGAUAACUGACCCCCGAUAACCUUUGCAGUAAAUUGACAUGCACAGGAAAUGACACGGCUUGGAACAGCUUUUAAAGUUAACUUAAAUGUUCAGGGUCUCACUCCAACUGAGGGUAUAAAUAAUGGAACAGAGAGUAAAGUGCUUAUAUAUAGUAAUCAUUAUGGUUAUAUUUAGAAUCAGACAGGCCAAAUGUGUAAAAUUCAAUGUUUAUUGAUUGUUGUGAUGAGAAAAUACCUAAAAUAACUCCAUGCAAGCAGGAAUAGUGUCUACAUUUGCUUAAAAUUACAUUCCUAAUAUUUAGCAGAAUGCCUGGUCCACCACAGCCGCCCCAUAAACACUUGUUGGAUGAAAGAAUUAAUGUCAUGCUACUGGGUAUUGAUGAGGUAUAUAUUGUUGUGUAGGACAGUAGAGAUUGGUUUUAGUAAGAGAUUUUCUGCUGUCUAGGACAAGGAAAAUGUUAAAUAAAUCUGGUUUACCAGAAGCUAUAACA
RNAcentral lists this long non-coding RNA (1998 nucleotides) under Piliocolobus tephrosceles (Ugandan red Colobus). RNAcentral describes it as "lncRNA (ENSPTEG00000021223.1)". The record is from RNAcentral. Lineage: Eukaryota; Metazoa; Chordata; Mammalia; Primates; Cercopithecidae.